RNAcentral lists this long non-coding RNA (229 nucleotides) under Gallus gallus (chicken). The record is from RNAcentral. Lineage: Eukaryota; Metazoa; Chordata; Aves; Galliformes; Phasianidae.
UGUGUCUCAUUUUUCAAGUGGCCAAAUGAGUGGAUUUUUUUGCAGUACUUUCUCAGCUCUGAAUUCGCUCCAUUCAUAUACAGAGAAAACCCUUGCUCUAGCUGCUCUAGUUUGACUUGUGUGGGGUCCUUUCUAUUCAAAUACCUCAGUAGCCGGUUUCUCUGCUGAAGUGCUAUUAAAUAUUCAUCAUGUUUUUCAUCAAAGUUAGUCACCAUGUCCUUAAUAUAAG